Molecule: long non-coding RNA, 525 nt
Filed under: Mustela putorius furo (domestic ferret)
Lineage: Eukaryota; Metazoa; Chordata; Mammalia; Carnivora; Mustelidae
Description: lncRNA (ENSMPUG00000031685.1)
Source: RNAcentral
CCCUGUGCCUACUGCGUGUCUCUAGUUCCGUGAAAUUUCUCUUCCUGGGACAAGUGGAGUCCCCAUGGAUGAUGAGUUUGGAGGGCUUAUUACCCAAAUGAGGAAUGCUUCCACAAGGAAACAUAGUCAUAGUUCUGAGGAACUGAAAAAUGAUACCACUGCCCCAGCCAUUCUGGGCUUUUCCUGCUGGUGAGCUGACAAAGAAAUGGGUCUCUGUACCAACCAGGGAAGCUGAUCUACAUGGAUCAUAUAAAAAGCCAUCUUAACCUCUGGCUUCCAGUUGCCUCUGGUCAGUGGGGAGCCCCAUUUGGAGACUGGAGGAAGAGAGGACAGGGUGACUUAUUGGCAGCAGACAGGCCACCUUUACAACGUGGUGGCUUCCAGCCAGAUGGACAAGGUCCCGGUGACUUCUCUUCUCCACCCUCCUGGCACCUGCUAGCAUUUCCUGCUUUCUUGCUUUCUACUCCAUGUUGGCGGAUUCCUUUGAACCAAUAAUAUCGCUGUAUUGAUUAAACUCUAAGCCUC